Molecule: unclassified non-coding RNA, 400 nt
Filed under: uncultured fungus
Lineage: Eukaryota; Fungi
Description: sequence contains ITS1
Source: RNAcentral
UACGUCAUCCCCACCUUCCUCUCUACUUGCGUAGGCAGUCUCACUAGAGUCCCCAACUGAAUGAUGGCAACUAGUGACAGGGGUUGCGCUCGUUGCAGGACUUAACCUAACACCUCACGGCACGAGCUGACGACAACCAUGCAGCACCUUGAAAAUUGUCCGAAGAAAAGUCUAUUUCUAAACCUGUCAAUUCCCAUUUAAGCCUUGGUAAGGUUCCUCGCGUAUCAUCGAAUUAAACCACAUAAUCCACCGCUUGUGCGGGCCCCCGUCAAUUCCUUUGAGUUUCAUUCUUGCGAACGUACUCCCCAGGUGGCUAACUUAUCACUUUCGCUUAGUCUCUGAACCCGAAGGCCCAAAAACGAGUUAGCAUCGUUUACGGCGUGGACUACCAGGGUAUCUA